AGUUGUACUUGCAUCUGUGAAGUGGGGAAACUGUACUGACUUCAUUGGCUCAAAGUCUGCAGGUUUUUAGCACCAGCGAUUGAGAGAGAUUUAAGUUCCAGUAUAUCCGUUCUCCAUCUUUCCCAUCUUACUCAAAGAUCAUCUGGAAGCGGAUCGUCGUCCUGUUUGCAUCGCUUGGCCCACAUGAUGUUCUUUGAUGAUGUCAUCAUGGGAUGCUACUUGUUCCAAGAUUCUGUUAACAUUUCCAUGGUUUCCUAUUCCAGAAUGUUCAUCAUGACCAUGUUGGUCUAGUGUUUGAGUACAUGUCAACAAACUGACUUGCCCAAGUGUUUUUAUGUCGUGUAGAUAUUUCAUGCAGUCCUUUGCCUUCAGGGAGAACCUGGCUUCAUACAGCUUGUCCCUUUUCCGUCUGUUUAUGAAACGGACAACCACUUGUCGGCUCUUAACCCUAUCUCUCUUUUCCCAAGGCGGUGACACAAUGAUAUGUCAUCAGGGCAUAUCUCAACACCAACUUCCCUGCCUACCUUGGCAACACUUUCUAGGAUCUGUUCCUUUGUCUCCUCUGCCUCCGGGAUCUCAGCGAGCUGAAGGUUAUCCCGUCGUAGGUCUUGGUGAAUCUCAUCUUUCUGGAAUUGAAUUCGCAUGCAGAUGUGGAUUGAUGUUCUCCUUAAUUGUAUUUAGACAGGCCUCCUUUACCACUUGCAGUAUUUGUGGUAGUGCUGCUUUAAGCGCUGUGUCCACAGUCUUGUCUAUUAUCCGUGAGAUCUGGCCACCUACUACCCCACCCUCACUAAGCUCCCCACACAGCUCAUCGAGAUUGAACUGACACAGUGCGAGACAUAUUAUGGUCUUCCUCUGUUGCUAUCCCCCUCUUCUGCUCAACUGCUCUGUCAAUUCCUGGGUGGGCAAUAAAAAGGUUUAGCUUUCAUUUUCUUGCCAUUAGUUUUUUUUGUUUAAAUCUUGGAUUUUUCGCCGAUAUACUUCUUCAUCCUUCCUAGUUCCUGAGCUCUUUUGUCCUCAGACAGGUUUUUUUUUUAUUCCAGCCUUUCCUUGAAACAUUCUGUACAAUAGAACAUAACAGAUGCAGGAUAUAUAUUUUACAAUGCAUCAAGUUCAAAUUACAUAUAACCUUUGCACUGAUUGGACGUACUCUCCUAAGUCCAACCACAUGGCCAAGGAAGGACACCUGCGCAUGAGCAUAGUCUGACUUUUUCAGAUUUACAGUUAGGUUUGCCUUGGAGAUACGAUCAAAGAGAGACUUCAGACACGUUGCAGAUGCUCUUCCCAUGUGUGCUAUACACCACUAUGUCAUCAAGCUGUUUGUACAUUUCGUCAAAUUUUCCAAUAAUGAAGUCAAUUUAAGUGAUAGCCUCGCUCUGUUUAUCCUUCAUUGAGGCUAGCUCUGCUCCGAAAUCUGUCAGCUUGCCCAUCACGUCGGCCAGUGUAUACCCCUGGGGCACUUCCUGGGCCUGCCACAGCUUUGCUUCCCCUCUUUCCAGGCAUCAUGACUGAGAUUAAUGUACAGCACACAAUAAAGUGGGUUGUACUAGAAGAAGUAAUGAGGCGACUUGGUUAUAUAGAUGUGAAGACAGCAAAAACAAGAGUACAUGGGACUAUGUAUUAACACUAACUGUCCGUGAUGGCAAAUUUAGCAGCACAAAUUACUCUUAAAACUAGGCAGAAUAGACAGUGUUGAUAUGUGUUUCUCACCACAUCCAGGUUUCCACAAAGAAUAUGAACUGUAUAAAAUAUCAAAAUUAUAACACUUUCCAUGAUCAGAAAAGACAAAUUUAAGAGACCAAUCUGAGUCCAGUUAUGUCCAGUGUUAACAAGCGAGGUUCAUCUAGUCUCAUCUUGCUGUUUGGACUUAUGUGAUUGUCAUUGACUAAUCGUCCAAGAAUACCAUCAUCAUUUGAUGCAUCAAUACAGAUAAGUUUUCCUUUGCCAGGAUAUUGCACUGUGUUUGCCUCCUUUGACAGGAACGUGGUUCGAUAGUCUCCAUAUUUCACUAGCUUCAAUAGUCACUGAAUGCUGUAGCAUAGUAUGCUUAACUUAUUUUGAAACACUCAUUUGCACCUUUCAAAAAGGGAAGUAUUCUACUCAUGUGUCUUGGGCAAAAAGA
Molecule: long non-coding RNA, 2122 nt
Filed under: Lytechinus variegatus (green sea urchin)
Lineage: Eukaryota; Metazoa; Echinodermata; Echinoidea; Temnopleuroida; Toxopneustidae
Description: uncharacterized LOC121421672
Source: RNAcentral